Pelobates cultripes (western spadefoot toad) is the source of this 269-nucleotide non-coding RNA. NCBI's taxonomy places the organism in Eukaryota, Metazoa, Chordata, Amphibia, Anura, Pelobatidae. The record is from the annotation of a GenBank genome assembly.
ACACAUACAUUCAGACACACAUGCAGACACACACAUACAGAGAAACAUACAUACAGACACACAUACACAAACACACACACAUAUAGAGACACAUACAUACAGACACACAUACACUAACACACACACACACACACACAUGCAAAAUGUUUACGUCACCCUCCUGUUUCCUACCUUUUAGGUGCAAGAGGGUGACUUUUCCUGGGGUCCAGUGGUGGCUCAGGCUGAUGGGAGUCAGAGUUCCUACUCUGACUCCCUCUCCUUCCUCCCGC